RNAcentral lists this non-coding RNA (99 nucleotides) under Rhizobium mesoamericanum. RNAcentral describes it as "TPP sequence". It matches the Rfam family "TPP riboswitch aptamer (THI element)". From Rfam's summary of the family: Vitamin B(1) in its active form thiamin pyrophosphate (TPP) is an essential coenzyme that is synthesised by coupling of pyrimidine and thiazole moieties in bacteria. The previously detected thiamin-regulatory element, thi box was extended, resulting in a new, highly conserved RNA secondary structure, the THI element, which is widely distributed in eubacteria and also occurs in some archaea. Analysis of operon structures identified a large number of new candidate thiamin-regulated genes, mostly transporters, in various prokaryotic organisms. Lineage: Bacteria; Pseudomonadati; Pseudomonadota; Alphaproteobacteria; Hyphomicrobiales; Rhizobiaceae. The record is from RNAcentral.
AAUGAGAGACAGGGGCGCCCUCCUAAUUGGGGGGGCUGAGAAGCACCCUUUGAACCUGAACCGGAUAAUGCCGGCGGAGGGAGUCGCUCGGGCUCCCUG